This is a long non-coding RNA of Equus caballus (horse), 988 nucleotides long. RefSeq lists it as uncharacterized. Lineage: Eukaryota; Metazoa; Chordata; Mammalia; Perissodactyla; Equidae. The record is from RefSeq and is a predicted model, not a curated record.
CUCGGGGCUCUGGGCGCGCAAACGCCCGGGCACGAGCCAGAGCCAGCGGCCACCCGCAACCAGGCCCUCCGGAGCAUAGACGCCUGAACUUUCGGGCGGUAAGGCACGUCUUCCUCAGGGCCUGUGGGCCCGCGGGCAGGGCGCCCACUGCCAGGCUGGUGCGCCCAGCCACCGUCCCGAGUCCAGCCAGACGGCAUGCGGUGGACGGAAGUGCCCGGGAGCCCAACCUUGCUGCCGACAGGGAGCGCGUGCCCAGGACAAGGACCGCUCCUCCUGGCCGGUUCCUGCAGGUGCCCGGUGCCCAGGCGGCCCGGCGCUGAUCGCCACUGCCUGCCGGGGCUAGGGCUGCGGGCAGUCCCUCCCCGGGGCCGCCGAGCCAUUCGCGCCUCUCCCGGGGGCCCUCCAGGAGCCUGUCCCCGCCGUCCCCGCCGCUCCAGCCCUAUCUCUCCCGGCAUCUCAGCGAGUUUCCAGUUUCUCCCCACUUAGGGAGGGAACCAAGAAGCAGAAGGAGUUCAGCAUCGCGAGACAGCGUCCUUCUCUGGUCUGUGGUCUUCAAACUUCAGCAUCAGCUGUGAAGACGAGAGCCUCACAAAGACUGGUCAGGAAAAGAGAUAAAUAUGUUGUGGUAUAUUCAUAUGAUGGAAUACAAUACAGCAAUGAAAAUGGGUCGACCACAGCUAUCCCCAUUACCAUGGAUGAAUCUUCCAAACUGCUGAGCAAAAAAAGAAACACAACGUCCAUCCGGUGAGAGCCUGCGCAGAAUGUAAGCGAGGGAGCAGCUCUGCUGGGAUGGGGGCGACGCACUGCAGAGCUUAACAAGAAUGACUCGGGGGUGGCCGGCAGCUUGCAGUGACCUCACUGGUCCUCCUUCCGUUUCAUCAGGCACGAGGAUGCUCCCCAUUGCGACUGUCCUUGACUGUCACCGCCAAUGUCCACUCAAGAAAUGACUGUAACAGAUCAAUAAGCAGCAUAGUUCAUCUUGACCUGA